UACGGGAGGCAGCAGUGGGGAAUAUUGCACAAUGGGCGCAAAGCCUGAUGCAGCCAUGCCGCGUGUAUGAAAAAGGCCUUCGGGUUGUAAAGUACUUUCAGUCGUGAGGAAGGUGUUAAGGUUAAUAACCUUAGCAAUUGACGUUAGCGACAGAAGAAGCACCGGCUAACUCCGUGCCAGCAGCCGCGGUAAUACGGAGGGUGCGAGCGUUAAUCGGAAUUACUGGGCGUAAAGGGCACGCAGGCGGUUAAUUAAGUUGGAUGUGAAAUCCCCGGGCUUAACCUGGGAAUGGCAUUCAAGACUGGUUAGCUAGAGUCUUGUAGAGGGGGUAGAAUUCCAUGUGUAGCGGUGAAAUGCGUAGAGAUGUGGAGGAAUACCGGUGGCGAAGGCGGCCCCUGGCAAAGCUGACGGCCCAUGUGCGAAAGCGUGGGGAGCAAACAGGGAUUAGAUACC
RNAcentral lists this ribosomal RNA (453 nucleotides) under uncultured bacterium. Its description in RNAcentral is "bacterial SSU rRNA". It matches the Rfam family "Bacterial small subunit ribosomal RNA", at positions 340 to 786 of the family's 1533-position model. The record is from RNAcentral.